This is a small nucleolar RNA of Mesocricetus auratus (golden hamster), 94 nucleotides long. Its record names the gene SNORD116. It matches the Rfam family "Small nucleolar RNA SNORD116". Rfam says of the family: HBII-85 is a member of the C/D class of snoRNAs, which contain the C (UGAUGA) and D (CUGA) box motifs. The record is from Ensembl. Lineage: Eukaryota; Metazoa; Chordata; Mammalia; Rodentia; Cricetidae.
GUAUCGAUGAUGAUUCCCAGUCAAACAUUCCUUGGAAAAGCUGAACAAAAUGAGUGAAAACUCGAUAUAGCCGCUCUCCUCAGGACUGAGUUCC